CGCACAUUGCGCCCCGUGGUAUUCCGCGGGGCAUGCCUGUUCGAGCGUCAUUUCACCACUCCAGCCUCGCUGGGUAUUGGGUGCCGCGGUCUCCCGCGCGCCUUAAAGUGCUCCGGCUGAGCCCUCCGUCUCUCACCCGCGUUGUGACACAGUCUCGCGAUCGAGUACGGAUGGCCGCGGCCGUUAAAUCUUUAUACAGGUUGACCUCGGAUCAGGUAGGGAUACCCGCUGAACUUAA
RNAcentral lists this unclassified non-coding RNA (238 nucleotides) under Xenomycosphaerella diplazii. RNAcentral's name for it is "partial contains 5.8S ribosomal RNA, internal transcribed spacer 2, and large subunit ribosomal RNA". The record is from RNAcentral. Lineage: Eukaryota; Fungi; Ascomycota; Dothideomycetes; Mycosphaerellales; Mycosphaerellaceae.